UACAGAGGUCUCAAGCGUUGUUCGGAUUCAUUGGGCGUAAAGGGUGCGUAGGCGGCGCGGUAAGUCGGGUGUGAAAUCUCGGAGCUUAACUCCGAAACUGCAUUCGAUACUGCCGUGCUUGAGGACUGGAGAGGAGACUGGAAUUUACGGUGUAGCGGUGAAAUGCGUAGAUAUCAGGAGGAACACCGGUGGCGAAGGCGGGUCUCUGGGCAGUAACUGACGCUGAGGAACGAAAGCGUGGGUAGCGAACAGG
RNAcentral lists this ribosomal RNA (253 nucleotides) under uncultured bacterium. Its description in RNAcentral is "partial 16S ribosomal RNA". It matches the Rfam family "Bacterial small subunit ribosomal RNA", at positions 524 to 776 of the family's 1533-position model. The record is from RNAcentral.